AGCAGCCGCGGUAAUUCCAGCUCCAAUAGCGUAUAUUAAAGUUGUUGCAGUUAAAAAGCUCGUAGUUGAAUUUCGGGGUUAGUAGGUUGGUCAUGCCUCUGGUAUGUACUGGUCUCACUGAUUCCUCCUUCCUUAUGAACCGUAAUGCCAUUAAUUUGGUGUUGCGGGAAAUUUGGACUGUUACUUUGAAAAAAUUAGAGUGUUUAAAGCAAGCUAACGCUUGAAUACAUUAGCAUGGAAUAAUGAAAUAGGACGUUCGAUCUUAUUUUGUUGGUUUCUAGGAUUGACGUAAUGAUUAAUAGGGAUAGUUGGGGGCAUUAGUAUUCAAUUGUCAGAGGUGAAAUUCUUGGAUUUAUUGAAGACUAACUACUGCGAAAGCAUUUGCCAAGGAUGUUUUCAUUAAUCAAGAACGAAAGUUAGGGGAUCGAAGACGAUCAGAUACCGUCGUAGUCUUAACCAUAAACUAUGCCGACUAGGGAUCGGAUGAUGUUAAUUUUUUAAUGACUCA
Molecule: small RNA, 508 nt
Filed under: uncultured Glomus
Lineage: Eukaryota; Fungi; Glomeromycota; Glomeromycetes; Glomerales; Glomeraceae
Description: SSU rRNA
Rfam family: Eukaryotic small subunit ribosomal RNA
Source: RNAcentral